UGGGGAAUAUUGCACAAUGGGCGAAAGUCUGAUGCAGCAACGCCGCGUGGAGGAUGACACAUUUCGGUGCGUAAACUCCUUUUAUAUAAGAAGAUAAUGACGGUAUUAUAUGAAUAAGCACCGGCUAACUCCGUGCCAGCAGCCGCGGUAAUA
RNAcentral lists this ribosomal RNA (153 nucleotides) under uncultured bacterium. RNAcentral's name for it is "partial 16S ribosomal RNA". It matches the Rfam family "Bacterial small subunit ribosomal RNA", at positions 355 to 525 of the family's 1533-position model. The record is from RNAcentral.